RNAcentral lists this ribosomal RNA (404 nucleotides) under uncultured bacterium. RNAcentral's name for it is "bacterial SSU rRNA". It matches the Rfam family "Bacterial small subunit ribosomal RNA", at positions 28 to 417 of the family's 1533-position model. The record is from RNAcentral.
GAUGAACGCUGGCGGCGUGCCUAAUACAUGCAAGUCGAACGCGAAAGGGAUUCGUCCCCAGUAGCGUGGCGUCCGGGUGAGUAACACGUAGGAAACCUUGCCUAGAGUGGGGGAUAACGUCCCGAAAGGGACGCUAAUACCGCAUAAGCCCACGUCGGCCUCGGCCGAUGCGGGAAAAAGAUGGCCUCUGAAUUCAAGCUAUCGCUCAAGGAUGGUCCUGCGGCGCAUCAGCUAGUUGGUGGGGUAACGGCCUACCAAGGCGAAGACGCGUAGCUGGUCUGAGAGGAUGAUCAGCCACACUGGCACUGAAACACGGGCCAGACUCCUACGGGAGGCAGCAGUGGGGAAUAUUGGACAAUGGGCGCAAGCCUGAUCCAGCCACGCCGCGUGAGUGAUGAAGGCCU